GGGGAGGGUCGUAGCUCAGUGGUAGGGCAUCUGCUUUGCAUGCAGAAGGUGCCAGAUCCGACCCCUCCCCUCCCCG
Podarcis lilfordi (Lilford's wall lizard) is the source of this 76-nucleotide non-coding RNA. The record is from the annotation of a GenBank genome assembly. NCBI's taxonomy places the organism in Eukaryota, Metazoa, Chordata, Lepidosauria, Squamata, Lacertidae.